RNAcentral lists this ribosomal RNA (484 nucleotides) under uncultured bacterium. RNAcentral describes it as "partial 16S ribosomal RNA". It matches the Rfam family "Bacterial small subunit ribosomal RNA", at positions 28 to 507 of the family's 1533-position model. The record is from RNAcentral.
AUUGAACGCUGGCGGCAUGCUUUACACAUGCAAGUCGAACGGCAGCGCGGGCUUCGCCCUGGCGGCGAGUGGCGAACGGGUGAGUAAUGCGUCGGAACGUGCCCAGUAGUGGGGGAUAGCCCGGCGAAAGCCGGAUUAAUACCGCAUACGACCUGAGGGGUAAAGCGGGGGACCGAAAGGCCUCGCGCUAUUGGAGCGGCCGAGGUGGGAUUAGCUAGUGGGUGGGGUAAAGGCUUACCAAGGCGACGAUCCGUAGCUGGUCUGAGAGGAGGACCAGCCACACUGGGACUGAGACACGGCCCAGACUCCUACGGGAGGCAGCAGUGGGGAAUUUUGGACAAUGGGGGCAACCCUGAUCCAGCCAUGCCGCGUGCGGGAAGAAGGCCUUCGGGUUGUAAACCGCUUUUGUUCGGGAAGAAAUCCUCUGGGCUAAUACCCCGGGGGGAUGACGGUACCGGAAGAAUAAGCACCGGCUAACUACGUG